Long non-coding RNA from Pseudopipra pipra, 576 nucleotides. RefSeq lists it as uncharacterized. The record is from RefSeq and is a predicted model, not a curated record. NCBI's taxonomy places the organism in Eukaryota, Metazoa, Chordata, Aves, Passeriformes, Pipridae. The transcript has 2 exons.
CACGGGUGCAGCGGGGCCUGCUCUCAGCAGGCUCAGUGCUGAGCCACAACACACUAAUGAGACGGUCUGAGACGGAUGAUCUGUCCACUGUGGAGGGGAGAGCAGGCACAGCCAGGUAGUCACUGAAUUACCUUUAGCUGAAACUGGUGAAUAAGUACUGACAUUGGAACAGUGUCAGAGAAUGAGAACAUCACUCACCUAAUAUCUGAAAAUAAACACGAGAAGGAGUAGCAAUAAACACAUGAAUAACUCAGAACUAAACAUUUCUAGAAAAGCCUCCUCGAACCUGACUAUAGACUCAUUUUAGAGUCUUUUGAUACAACAUUCUAAUAAAUUUGAAAUACCACCAAGUUGUUGAUUUGGGAUUUAUUUUUGCAUUUUACCCAGUUCAAGAGCUUCUUUCAGGUGAAGAGAUACUUCUCCCAGCACAGACCCCUGCCCUGUUCUACCAGCAGAGCUGGGUCCCCUCCUGAGCAGGCCAGAGCCUUCAGGUUUCACUGGAAAAUACCGACUUCUGCCAUCGGUAGAGCAGUCUUUACUUUUCUAAACAGAAAAUUGUUUUGAAACUUAAAUGAA